AAUUUUCAUUUGGGGAAUGUCAUUUUUUUAUACUUUGUCAUCAAUUUGCUACUUUAAUCAUUUGCUGGUUUAAUAACUUUCAAUUCAUCCUAUUUUUUUAAUGCUGCGGACGCAUUAGUACAAUAUCAAUUUAUGGAAAGAAAACUGUUUAAAAAAAGUUAAGGGAUAAGAACAAACAAUCUUAAUAAUAUUAACUUUUGCUGGUUUUAAUAAUUGAUAUUCAGAGAUUGGGUUCUUUGAAGACAUCUUCGGAGCACAUUUGGGGAUUUGAUUUAUUCCUUCUCAUCUCAGCGAAAGGAUAUAGGAUUGGAAAUUAAAUGAGUUGAUAUUUUGUGGAAUCCUUUUUUUAUACAGGCAUAUAUGCCAAUUGAAAUUAAAGUUCCUCUGAUGUUAGAGGACCUGAAAUGCUGAUUAGUUAGCAUAGUUCACCCUCGGCUCGUACAAGCGGAUUCUCUUCGGGUCUGCUGCUCCAUCCAGCUGGCCGCCUUGCGCUGGGUCCACUUUCCUUUGGCCCACAGUCACCAUCUCAGCAGCGGGGACCCAACUGGCAAUUUUGCGGGCACAUUGUGCACACUGGCCCGGAUCCCGCGGCUGAUUAGUUGGUGUGGCGGGGAGGAGGGUGUCGGGGGGGGGGCGUCUAGAAGAGGGUGUCCUGUGGCACUGGCUGAGUGAGACGCUUAUGUUUCCAGGGACACAAAUCUCUUGGCUUGUCUGGCUGUUUGACAAAGACAAAGUGUGAUCAUUCAAAGACAUGUUGGUUGCGGAACCAGAUUAGAGAACCAAAAAAAAAGACUUGUGACAUCUUUAGUCUGUUUCCAGGUUAAAUAUGGCUCCUAUUCAGGGCAUCUAUAUGCAUACUUUUAUCAGACAAUGUUUUCAUUGGUUGGUGGUCAUCAGUGCUGUAGUGGUAAAAUUAGAGGUGGGUAAACUGUGAAUUUGGUGAUCAUACAGACCUCGACGCAAUGUGAAGCAACGCAACACAAAGCGUCGCGACUCUGUAAGGCUGUCCUGGCUAUAUUGCAUUAUGUUAUCAGUAAAAGUCAUAUACAAUCAAUGACAAUGAAUACAUGUGUUGGUAGUUUGUAGUUCAUUAAAUCUAUGAAAACAGUGAAGAAAAGUAUGUCAACACAACACAACAACACAAUUGCAGAUUAAGAACUAUCUACAUACGGAGUCUCCUUUUCACAGUAGUGCCCUGAGGGCCUCCUUGUCCUCCACGUCAGGUGCUGCCUUCUCUCUCUCCUCUCUCUAUUGGACCUGGUGUUUCUCCUCUCCCUGUGCUCUCUGCAUCAUUGGCUGUCCUCUCACUGCCUGAACAAAUAUGUUGAAUUUAAGAGUUAAGCAGCCUGUCAAUUACACUGACAACAUAAAUUAAAGGAACACUCAUGUACUACCUAUGUCAUCAUAAAUAGCCUAUACAGCAUGUUUUUUUUUCACAUUGAGAACUGACUUGUUUUCUAAUCUACGCGUCACCAGGCGUUUUUCUUUUGCCGUGCACGACCAGCGAACACAGAGCGCGCGACUACUACCCCCCUCCCCCGUCGGUCGUUCCGCCCGCAACGACUACACGCCCCCCCCGUCGGACCUUCUCGACCGGUCCGCGAAAUAUUGUCUGACAUGAAACCGGUCCGUGAGGUAAGAAAGGUUGGGGACCACUGGGCUGAUCCACAGCGUGUGUUUACACACCUCCUGGAUCCUGAUUGGUGUCGCUGCUGCAGCCGCAAGGCAUUGAUUGGAUGCUCACAGACCGUAAUACAGCGCAGAUGAACAUGAUUCAGACUACGGCGUUUAUAUGUUCAACAAUAGGAAACGUAGUCUUAGCUGUUUUAAAAUUACACCAAGUUUAUUUCGGAUUAUUCCAACGGAAGAAUACAAGGCGCAGGUAACUUUGAGGUGCGUAAACGCUAUUUCCAAAAUUCCAGAGGUGCGUAAACGGCGUUUACGUGCGUUUACCCUCCACUACAGCCCUGGUGGUCAUCUGAAAAUAAGAAGGGUUGAGUUUUCUUGAGCUUAGAAUGAGCCGUUUGAAUUCAAACAAGGCCGGGAGAAGGUCCUGUUAGUCGCAAUCUGCAGCCUCGCCGCUAGAUGUCGCCAAAUCGUGCAUCCUGGACCUUAGCCAGCCUUAUUUAAAAAUGGAUUUGGUCAUCUAGAUUUGUCAAAUUUUCAAUCUGGGAAAGGGUUAAUAAAAAGGCUGUAUAGUUUACUUUGCUGCUAGGAGUUACUAAGUCAAAAUAUUGAGACAUUUUUUGUAUUAUUUUUGAGGUAUUGGAUAAUUAUUCUUGGAUGCCACGUCAAUAUUUCAAGACCCUCAGUCAAAACGUAGAAAACAAGUCAUUAUUUUGAGACGCCAUGUCACUUUAAUGAGAUUUUGAGAUCAGUGUCAAAAAUAAUAACUAUCACAACAUUUUGAACUUAUUGUUUUGAGGUAAAAAGUCAAAAUGUUGUAAACGC
Gasterosteus aculeatus aculeatus (three-spined stickleback) is the source of this 2451-nucleotide long non-coding RNA. The record is from Ensembl. Lineage: Eukaryota; Metazoa; Chordata; Actinopteri; Perciformes; Gasterosteidae.